Indicator indicator is the source of this 1074-nucleotide long non-coding RNA. RefSeq lists it as uncharacterized. Lineage: Eukaryota; Metazoa; Chordata; Aves; Piciformes; Indicatoridae. The transcript is spliced from 3 exons. The record is from RefSeq and is a predicted model, not a curated record.
UUCCCUAUGCUGGGGCUGCUGCUUUCAGCCAGGGAUGUUGUUAACUGUUAGCUUUGGUUUCUGGUGGCCUCUACACUCGCAGUACCAGGUCUCCUCACUGCAGUGAGUGAUCAAAGCUCAGACUGGCUUUGUGUACCUAAACAGAAGUAACAAUUUACAUUUAAUCUAAGGCAUUUUCAUGUGAACAUUAAUGUAAAAAAGAUGUCUUUAGUUUCUGAUCCCUCCCCCUCUCCAAGUAUAUAAAGACUGUGUGGUUUCAGGGAUUCCUUCUGCACCCAGAUGUCCUUUUCCUUCUGCCUGCCUUGAAGACCCUCAGCUACAGAGGCUUUUAAAAACAACCUGCCUUGAAACCAGUGAGCUCUGAAGUCCAUAAGCCCAGAAAUGAACAUCUGAUUGUGUAUUAGGACCUCCCUGAAUGCUUACAACUGGAUGCCAUAUGGAAAAUCCUUAGCUGAUUAUGGAAGCCUCCUAAAUGCUGAGAAAGAGACCAGGCAGAGCUAUCAUGUCCUUUGCUGAAAGGUGAAGUGUCUACAUGGAGCUGCUCUGGUUCUCUUUGCACUGCCAUUGCAGCAGAAUCAAGACGCGGUUGGCUGAAUGUCAUCUCAUGCCAUUUAAGCACUUUGGAGGUUCAAACUGGUUCUCAUACCAAAGGAACAAUGAAGGAGGCUGCACAGCUGGGCUGCAACAAUUGCUCUGAACCCCUGAAGCACACACUGCUGCCAGUGAGAAAACAGCAGGGAAGGGCUACUUAAGCAAGCAGACCUAAGGCAGGGCACUGGUUCUGCAUAUGGGACAACCAUAACCAAGGACUGAAGAUCUAUCAGCAAAGAAACCAGUGAGGAGUGUCACUGUGCUCUCCCCUGCCUGGGACUUGCUGUUUCAAUAGAGGGCUGGUGAGAAGAUGAAGAGUAGGAGUUUGGUUUGGUCAGAAUACCUUGGCUGUUCCUUUUUCCUUUAAAGAGUAUUUGGAGCAUGUGAUCCUGUUCUUUCACUGGCUUUGUUUAGAUGACACCAAAGAUGCAGCACUGUCCAGAAAUGCUCUGGAAAUGCUCAAGAAAUACAGCAUGCCAGCUG